UAGACUAAUUAUUUGAAGGAUGAAGCUUUACUCUUGCAUCUUAGUUUUGUUUCUCUUGAUCUCUUCAGGUACAGAGAUGAAGGAGGUUAAGGCAGCGAGGUGCAUGGAAGUGCUGGACCCAAAUGGAUGUAUUCUACCAUCUUGCAAGCAACGUUGCCUUCAAGAAAAGAAUGGAAAUGGAGUUUGUGUGCCUAAUCGGAAUGGAGGCUAUGAAUGUAUUUGCUAUUACAACUGUUGAUCACUUCGCUAUGAAUGUGAUUACUAAUUUAACUGUUGAUCACUUCAUAUAAAAUAAGUAAAAUAAAAAACCUGUUUGGAAGGUUUUCUUUAA
Vitis vinifera (wine grape) is the source of this 331-nucleotide long non-coding RNA. RefSeq lists it as uncharacterized. Lineage: Eukaryota; Viridiplantae; Streptophyta; Magnoliopsida; Vitales; Vitaceae. The record is from RefSeq and is a predicted model, not a curated record. The transcript has 2 exons.